GAGAGAGAGAGAGGUGGCUUAGAGGUGGAACAGUGGCAGAGGGUAGGCUAGUGCGGAGCAGCAUAAACGAUAAAUCCAUGCUUUGGGACAUGAGACUUAUCCAGCGGAUGGGAACAGUGCCUUCAUCCUUGCAAAAGACGGGAAGGUGUAAGAACAAGAACGUAAUAAAUGCAUGAUGGAAGAGAGAGAUCAAUGGAACCGGACAUCUGACAAUCUUACAGAGGUAAUCUGCCCGCCCCGCCCCCCCGGCGGAGAGUGGCGCGAUCUUCUGUGCUGCGCUUGCAUUUUUUGUCAUGCCAAGAACCAUCGCGUCGUACGACGGGAAGCCUUCCCUUUUUUGUUUCUUGCGUUGCCAACUCAUGAGCGACCAGCCUUCCCUCAUGGAUCCAUUACGUUCCGAGACAAGACUGGACCGGCAGCUCUGCUGCCAGUUAAUGGCAAAAGCUACCCGCCUCCUCGCUUACCUCAAGCAUGUAAAACCCCUCCCGAUACGAGCUACUGAGCUACAGAUCUGCCAAAGAUAUUGGACUCACUCAAAUCUAUCUACACGGGGGGAUAAGAGAUACUAACUUUACUCAUGGUCGUCGUCGCCGUAGCAGUAAUCGUAGUAACAGUGAAUAAAGAGACACCUUAACUCCUCUUCGUCGUCGUCGUCGUAGUAAUUGUAGAAACUGUAGAAAGCAGUAACAGUUGGGGUCCGGCACUGUGUGCCCCGAUACGAACGGGAACUUUCACUGUGAGAGCAAGUGGCAUCAUUGGAGAGAGAUGAGAAGGCAGGGGAAAAGAGAAAACAGAAGGCGCGGUUGCCAAGGGGGGUGGUGGCACACUGUGGGUGGAAAUGGCCAUGCCUGGCAAUGGCAAUGGCGGGACCUGUACUGCAGAUACAGUCAUGGGCCCUGAGAAGAGAGACAGAGAGAGAGAGAGGCGCGGUGGAAAGAUUUGCGUUUUAGUGCGCGCUUCGCGGCACAAGGAGACGAAUCGAUGGAGACUGGACCUCUUCCUCCACCACCUCGUCUCUUCCUCUCUCUGGCGCUUCGUCUUUGGUGUCAGCGACUGGUUACGUCGCUCUCCUCUUCCUCGCCGAUCCAAUUACCCUUCUCUUCCUCUCUCUCUCCCUUCCUUGGCUUCGGGGUUCGUGUCUCAUCUUCCUCCACUGCCCCUGCCAUCCACCCUGUUUGGCAGUGCGACUUCUCUGUGGGACCGCUUUGUCUGCUUGUGGGCAUCACCA
This 1228-nucleotide long non-coding RNA is filed under the name Musa acuminata (dwarf banana). Its description in RNAcentral is "long non-coding RNA (MACU_LNC004988)". The record is from RNAcentral. Lineage: Eukaryota; Viridiplantae; Streptophyta; Magnoliopsida; Zingiberales; Musaceae.